GAGUUCAGGAUGGAGCAGUUUGUAAAGGGAGAAAAAGUCUGACUUUCCUCUCCUCCACAACAUCUCCACUACAUGCUGUUAUUAAUUACAGCACUUUCUCUUUUAGUUCUUGAUCAUUAAAUUAAACUGGACGGAGUGCGAUUAAAAUAAUUCCGUUUCCAACUCGUCAAAGACUCGGUUCAAAGUGUCGGUUCAAAGAGUCGGUUCAAAGAGUCGAGUAAGUUUUCCGAAAGUGAAAGUGUUUCUCAGCCUCGACUCCAUUAUUAAGGAGCGGUUAGAAAAAACACAACGAUGUUCAACAGCAGUCAGAAGCGGUGAGAUUCAUGUCCAACAACAAGCAGUGGUGAAGAAAAGUGGGAAUGUGAUUGAUUCCAGCAGAAGAGAUCGACAUCUUCAGGACUCUGCGUGUACACGAGCAUCGAAAAAUGGAGAUCCCUGAUCAGGGGACAGAUCAUGUGACCUCACCCUCAAAAGACUGUAAACUACAGAGAGAGAAAUCACACUCACCAGUGCCCAGCUGUGUCUCCAUGAAGAGUGAUGUGUCUAUGGAUGUUCCUCAGAGAUUUAGCACUGGAAUCUCCUCACCUGGACACAGGUAACAUCCCAUAAUUCUCCUAGUUAAAGUCACAGUUAAUGGCUGCACUACACCGUCAU
Silurus meridionalis is the source of this 654-nucleotide long non-coding RNA. RefSeq lists it as uncharacterized. The record is from RefSeq and is a predicted model, not a curated record. The transcript is spliced from 3 exons. NCBI's taxonomy places the organism in Eukaryota, Metazoa, Chordata, Actinopteri, Siluriformes, Siluridae.